GACGAACGCUGGCGGCGUGCUUAACACAUGCAAGUCGAACGGAAAGGCCCUGCUUUUGUGGGGUGCUCGAGUGGCGAACGGGUGAGUAACACGUGAGUAACCUGCCCUUGACUUUGGGAUAACUUCAGGAAACUGGGGCUAAUACCGGAUAGGAGCUCCUGCUGCAUGGUGGGGGUUGGAAAGUUUCGGCGGUUGGGGAUGGACUCGCGGCUUAUCAGCUUGUUGGUGGGGUAGUGGCUUACCAAGGCUUUGACGGGUAGCCGGCCUGAGAGGGUGACCGGCCACAUUGGGACUGAAAUACGGCCCAGACUCCUACGGGAGGCAGCAGUGGGGAAGAGUGCACAAUGGGCGGAAGCCUGAUGCAGCAACGCCGCGUGCGGGAUGACGGCCUUCGGGUUGUAAACCGCUUUCGCCUGUGACGAAGCGUGAGUGACGGUAAUGGGUAAAGAAGCACCGGCUAACUACGUG
Molecule: ribosomal RNA, 468 nt
Filed under: uncultured bacterium
Lineage: Bacteria
Description: partial 16S ribosomal RNA
Rfam family: Bacterial small subunit ribosomal RNA
Source: RNAcentral